GCAGGGUGCCAGCUUGUCGAAGUACUCGGGAGCAACCAGGCUCAGCAGCGCCUGGAACAGCCGGACGAAGGGCAGGCGGGACACCAGCACCAGAGACUGCAGGGCCCAGGGCUGGCUGCUGCGUGCUCUCCCCAGACCGGGAUCUGCCUGGGAGUCACGGCCCCGGAAGGCAGGCAACUGCCCUCCAGGGACAUCUCUGCAGACACAGUGGUGAGCGGUUCAGGGGCCCAAGAGCACCGGCCUCUGCACACCGAGCCACGCCCUGGUGCACACGUGGAGCACAGGAAAAGCCCCAAGGACCCUGGCAAGUCCUCAGAAGCGCUGGCCCACCCCCAGUCGAGGCUGGGGUGCCGGGCCUGGCCUGCAGCAGUUGGAGACCCUGCUGGCUGGGGCUGGCCAGGCGCCUUGAAGGGCCGCUCACACCCGCCUGACCCUGGCCUGCAGGGGCAGGGGAGGAGCGCUGGAGAGGCAGCCCGGCUCACCUGCAGAGACACGGGGGCCCCACUGUCACAGUGCCUGUCAUCCGUGUGCCAGGGGCGCCUCUGCCCUCCACACUGACGAAUGCGGAAGCAGAACUGAGUAUCCCCGAGGCAGCCUGGGGAAGAGGUGGUCCCCUCACGCUGUGUCCGGGUUGGGCUGGAGCCUCUCCUGCCAGCAUGUGGGGCGGGGGGCCAGGGAGGGGGCGAAGCCCCUGCCGGGCUGCAAAUGCCUCAGAAAAGCCCAGCCCUCCAGUUCUGUGUCUCCCGACAGAGGUCCCCGUGUCUAGAUUCCUGCACCUAAGGGUUUAAACUCAGCACACAGAGAAGCACAGCCACAGCCCCGCAGCGCGUGCACUGUGGGCAAGCACAGGCCGGGGCUUGUGUGGCCCGGCGUAGCCUGCCCGGGGAGGAAAACCAGGCCGACCCGGACACCUGAGCCCUGGAGAAGCCGAGGCCAGGACCCAGCUCCUGGUGACCCCUCUGCUGGGGUGAAGGAGACCAGACCCCACUGCCCAGAGACACCUCUUUCCGCGGGAACCGGGGAAACCGGCUGCCGCGGCGUGGGGCUCUGGCUGUCUCCCUGGAGCGGGAAGGGGGACCGGUGCUUACAGGCUGUGCAGGCCUGGCCGCAGGGGCUCUUGGGCAGCCUCAUCUCCCUCCUUCUUCUUCUCCCCACAGCCCCAGAGAGACACCCAGACCGGGGCGGGGCGGGGUGGCCUACCUGAGUGGGAGUCGGGAAAGGACAGGUAGCAGAUGCUGCUUUUCUGAAACACAGGAAAGCCAGUGAGGGCCUGCUCCCUGGGUGAGGUCUGCUCCGGAGAGGGCUGGGACCCACCUCCUUGUCCGUGAGCUGGAAGUCGCUGGGGUACACCAGCUGCGGGGGACACAGAGUACUCAGUGACAUGGGCUUGGCAGGCUUGGUGCUGGGCUGCAGGUGUGUCCCCCCCACCCCAGCACUGUCAGACCCUCUGGCUCUCCCCCACCUCUGGCUCCCUGCUGACCCCUCCUCCUCUCUUCAGGGCUCCAGCGCCCUGCCCUGCCUCCCCAGGCCCCUCUCGGCCCGAGGCCACUCCUGGCCCCCAUCCUUCCCUUUUCUCGGCCAGCGCACAACUGGGUGAGCUCCUGGACUCCCUUCUCACACCCCUCGCCCUCAAGGCCACUCGCCCAGACUGGGCCUCCCUGCCCCACGUCCCGACAGUCUGUCCCCAAAGCCUCCUCUCUCGCCUAGAGCGGAUGCAGGGCCCUGCCUCCUGGCCCCCACCUCCUGUACCCUCUCAGCGCUCCGAACCCAACCCCACCCAGCCAGAGGGUCUUAGGCUCUGCGGCUCCUCUGGGCCUGCUCUCCCAGACGGCCUGGCUAGCCUCCCCAUCCCGUCUUAACGCAGAUGUUGCCUGACACUGGCACCCCUGCCUCUGAGCAUCUUCACUCCAACCCCUGCUAGUCAGGGGUCCGGGAGCUUCUGGCCUGCUCCCCGCUUGGAAUGUGACCCCUGGAGCACCCAGGCCCCUGGAGUGUAUGGUGAGCGUGACCAGCUGGACAGGCUCUACCUGGGAGACAGGCCACACUCUAGGGGAGCCAGUAGCCCUGUACGCAGGCAAAUGGCCAGAAUGGAUUUCUUUGCAGGAAAGGAAAAAGGCAGGGAACCUCCAGAGUCCUCACUCCCUGCAGGCCCCCAAGUGUCUCCUGGGGACCUGGUGCGCCUUGGGCAUCACUGCUGCCCUGGCCCGUGCUCAGCUGCAGCAGGACGGCUCUCCCAGGAAGCGGCUAUGCCGGGAGCCAGGAGCUGAGGGCCUGCAUGCGUGGCCCCCUCCUUACUCUGUCGGCCAAACUCCCACGCGGAGGAGGACUUGGGUUCUGGCUGACAUGAGGCUUCCUCUGCGGUGUGCCCUGAGCCCCCAGGUGGUAAGUGCUCUGGAACCGAACCUGCAACAUCUCCAAGGUGUGCCUGUAUUUGUGGAGUGCGUGAAAACAUGUCUCCAAAGAAUAAUGGAACAGGUGGGGCAUGUGGAAAUCUCAAGACGUCAGCUAAGGAGGCACCAAGAAGGAAGGGCCAAGAGGACGGAGGGGAGCCAGCCAAACAGUAUUUGUCUGUGGGGUGGACCCACAGGGGUACCUCGAGAUGGCUCCAAGAGAGGAGGGGCCGCAGGACCACUCGGGCCCCUGCGCGUCCUUGCUGGGAAGGGCAGAGGAAAGGCGGGUGCCUGGCAGCUGGCAGGGCCACGAUGGGCCCUCGGAGCUGAGGUCAGGGGUCUGAAUCUGGUCUGGAGCUGAGGUCAGGGGUCUGAAUCUGGUCUGCAGUCACAGGAGUUUUGUAGCAUCUGAGCAGGCUCCACAGCCAUGCCCAGGGCUCCAAGUUCACUGUUCACAAGCUGGGAGCAGAGAUGGAGGGACGGCCCUGCCUGACUGAGGAGAGGAAUGGAGCGGACCCUCAGAGAGGGGCAGAGGGCGAGGGUCUGCCGCACGAUGAACCCUGUCCCCUGGAACCGCAGGGGUCUUGUCCUUUCCACGGGAGCCAGUCUGCAGGGGCUGCAGCUCCUGUAACCAAGUCGCCCCUGAGGAAGACAGAUGCAGCGAGCCUCGCCUUGCUGGAGAAGUGUGGCUUCCAGAGGCUGUGACACAGGCCGUCAAGGGGAACUGACUGAAGCUGACGUGAAGAUACAGCGGCCUUCUAUUUGGCCUUUAAAAAGGGACGUAAAAGUGUCAAAUAAUGCCAUUCUCCUCACUGAAUUUGUUUCUGAAAAUGGUUGUUUUUGUGGAAAUAUAUAUAUUUUUAAAGUAAGUAAAUAAAUAUUUAUUUAUUUUCGGC
This is an RNA transcript of Aethalodelphis obliquidens (Pacific white-sided dolphin), 3286 nucleotides long. RefSeq lists it as uncharacterized. NCBI's taxonomy places the organism in Eukaryota, Metazoa, Chordata, Mammalia, Artiodactyla, Delphinidae. The transcript has 5 exons. The record is from RefSeq and is a predicted model, not a curated record.